This 496-nucleotide ribosomal RNA is filed under the name uncultured bacterium. RNAcentral's name for it is "partial 16S ribosomal RNA". It matches the Rfam family "Bacterial small subunit ribosomal RNA", at positions 28 to 506 of the family's 1533-position model. The record is from RNAcentral.
GAUGAACGCUGGCGGCGUGCCUAAUACAUGCAAGUCGAGCGAACGGACGAGAAGCUUGCUUCUCUGAUGUUAGCGGCGGACGGGUGAGUAACACGUGGAUAACCUACCUAUAAGACUGGGAUAACUUCGGGAAACCGGAGCUAAUACCGGAUAAUAUUUUGAACCGCAUGGUUCAAAAGUGAAAGACGGUCUUGCUGUCACUUAUAGAUGGAUCCGCGCUGCAUUAGCUAGUUGGUAAGGUAACGGCUUACCAAGGCAACGAUGCAUAGCCGACCUGAGAGGGUGAUCGGCCACACUGGAACUGAGACACGGUCCAGACUCCUACGGGAGGCAGCAGUAGGGAAUCUUCCGCAAUGGGCGAAAGCCUGACGGAGCAACGCCGCGUGAGUGAUGAAGGUCUUCGGAUCGUAAAACUCUGUUAUUAGGGAAGAACAUAUGUGUAAGUAACUGUGCGCAUCUUGACGGUACCUAAUCAGAAAGCCACGGCUAACUACGU